AUUGAACGCUGGCGGCAGGCCUAACACAUGCAAGUCGAGCGAGAGGCGGACGGGUGAGAAAUGUCUGGGAAACUGCCUGAUGGAGGGGGAUAACUACUGGAAACGGGAGCUAAUACCACAUACCAUCAGAUGUGCCCAGAUGGGGUUAGCUAGUAGGUGGGGUAACGGCUCACCUAGGCGACGAUCACUAGCUGGUCUGAGAGGAUGACAAGCCACACUGGAACUUAGACACGGUCCAGACUCCUACGGGAGGCAGCAGUGGGGAAUAUUGCACAAUGGGCGCAAGCCUGAUGCAGCCAUGCCGCGUGUGUGAAGAAGGCCUUCGGGUUGUAAAGCACUUUCAGCGGGGAGGCGUUACCCGCAGAAGAAGCACCGGCUAACUCCGUGCCAGCAGCCGCGGUAAUUC
Molecule: ribosomal RNA, 406 nt
Filed under: uncultured bacterium
Lineage: Bacteria
Description: partial 16S ribosomal RNA
Rfam family: Bacterial small subunit ribosomal RNA
Source: RNAcentral